CCCAGAAAGGCUGUUCAACUGAGGGGAAGAGCCAAGAAGCGGCCACUUGUCUAGAUCGCCUGAUACUUGGGGGUGGCAGCAAAGAGUUUAUCCUGAGUGUUUUGUUCGCAGAUUGCUGCCAAGGAGGGAGAGACGGGCAAGCCAGAGUUCCUGUUGGAUGAAAAGGGGAAAGCGCCCACUUCUGCCUCGUCAGCUGUCCAGCCGCCUUCAGGGCCGUGUGAUCCCAAAUGUUCAAAAGCUCAGAAAGGAGAGAAGGGAGACCGAGGCCCACCUGGAGAUGUGAACUUGGUGGGCCUGCAAACUGGUGGAGGUUACGAUCCUUUUAGUUUUGCCACCAAAGGGGAGAAAGGAGAACGGGUAAGGAGCAGGCCAAGACCUGUGAGAUACUUCUGCUGUUUUUCCAAAAUGUU
RNAcentral lists this long non-coding RNA (410 nucleotides) under Pogona vitticeps (central bearded dragon). Its description in RNAcentral is "lncRNA (ENSPVIG00000005891.1)". Lineage: Eukaryota; Metazoa; Chordata; Lepidosauria; Squamata; Agamidae. The record is from RNAcentral.